UACAGAGGGUGCAAGCGUUAAUCGGAAUUACUGGGCGUAAAGCGCGCGUAGGUGGUAAGGUAAGUUGGAUGUGAAAUCCCUGGGCUUAACCUAGGAAUUGCAUUCAAGACUGCCUUGCUAGAGUACAGUAGAGGGAAGUGGAAUUUCCGGUGUAGCGGUGAAAUGCGUAGAUAUCGGAAAGAACAUCAGUGGCGAAGGCGACUUCCUGGACUGAUACUGACACUGAGGUGCGACAGCGUGGGGAGCAAACAGG
RNAcentral lists this ribosomal RNA (253 nucleotides) under uncultured bacterium. Its description in RNAcentral is "partial 16S ribosomal RNA". It matches the Rfam family "Bacterial small subunit ribosomal RNA", at positions 524 to 776 of the family's 1533-position model. The record is from RNAcentral.